Molecule: non-coding RNA, 92 nt
Organism: Aspergillus taichungensis
Lineage: Eukaryota; Fungi; Ascomycota; Eurotiomycetes; Eurotiales; Aspergillaceae
Source: the annotation of a GenBank genome assembly
GGAGCAGUAACUCAGCGGUAGAGUGGUAGAUUGCAAUGGUGUAACAACUAGCAAUUAUCUAUAGGUCCCGUGUUCGAUCCACGGCUGUUCCU